Regulatory RNA element from Neotoma lepida (desert woodrat), 300 nucleotides. It matches the Rfam family "Mason-Pfizer monkey virus packaging signal". From Rfam's summary of the family: The packaging signal is located in the 5' UTR and is required for specific RNA encapsidation. The record is from Rfam. NCBI's taxonomy places the organism in Eukaryota, Metazoa, Chordata, Mammalia, Rodentia, Cricetidae.
UGGCGCCCAACGUUGAGGCUUGAGAAUGUGGAGGAUCGGUGAACGUCGCACACCAAAGCACCAUGGAGAACGCUCCAUGAUCGAAGGUCCGGUCAGUGAUCACCACGGGGACGCCCGACCGUGAGACAGAUCUGGGGAGUCGAUUUGUGCCGACGCAAGGUAAGUUUACCAUGGGACAAGCAUUCAGUAAGCAGGAUUUAUUUAUUUCAGGACUUAAACAGUCUCUCGAGACAAGAGGAACAAGGGUUAAAAAGAAAGAUUUUAAAAAGUUUCUUGAUUAUAUUGGGGACCUUUGUCCCU